AAUGAACGUUGGCGGCGUGGAUUAGGCAUGCAAGUCGAGCGAGAAGACUCCCUUCGGGGAGUUGGACAGCGGCAGACGGGGUAGGAAUACGUCGGAACGUACCCCUUGGUCCGGGAUAGCCGCGGGAAACUGCGGGUAAUACCGGAUGACCUCUCCGGAGCAAAGGUGAGAUUCCGCCGGGGGAGCGGCCGACGCGGUACUAGCUAGUUGGUGAGGUAACGGCUCACCAAGGCCGAGAUGCCUAGGGGGUGUGAGAGCAUGGCCCCCACCACUGGGACUGAGACACUGCCCAGACACCUACGGGUGGCUGCAGUCGAGAAUCUUCGGCAAUGGGCGAAAGCCUGACCGAGCGACGCCGCGUGCGGGACGAAGGCCUUCGGGUUGUAAACCGCUGUCAGAGGGGAUGAAGUCACGGGGGGUUCUCCCCCCGUGUUGACAGAGCCUCAGAGGAAGCACGGGCUAAGUUCGUGCCAGCCGCCGCCGUAACAC
Molecule: ribosomal RNA, 489 nt
Filed under: uncultured bacterium
Lineage: Bacteria
Description: bacterial SSU rRNA
Rfam family: Bacterial small subunit ribosomal RNA
Source: RNAcentral